This 424-nucleotide ribosomal RNA is filed under the name uncultured bacterium. Its description in RNAcentral is "bacterial SSU rRNA". It matches the Rfam family "Bacterial small subunit ribosomal RNA", at positions 359 to 775 of the family's 1533-position model. The record is from RNAcentral.
GAAUAUUGGACAAUGGGGGAAACCCUGAUCCAGCGACGCCGCGUGGGUGAAGAAGGCCUGCGGGUUGUAAAGCCCUUUCGGUGGGGAAGAAAUGCUCGGAGCUAAUACCUCCGGGCUUUGACGUAACCCACAGAAGAAGCACCGGCUAACUCUGUGCCAGCAGCCGCGGUAAUACAGAGGGUGCGAGCGUUAAUCGGAAUUACUGGGCGUAAAGCGCGCGUAGGCGGCUUUGCAAGCCGGAUGUGAAAUCCCCGGGCUUAACCUGGGAACUGCAUUCGGGACUGCAUUGCUAGAGUAUGGGAGAGGGAAGUGGAAUUUCAGGUGUAGCGGUGAAAUGCGUAGAUAUCUGAAGGAACACCAGUGGCGAAAGCGACUUCCUGGACCAAUACUGACGCUCAUGUGCGAAAGCGUGGGGAGCAAACAG